Molecule: long non-coding RNA, 261 nt
Filed under: Gossypium raimondii (Peruvian cotton)
Lineage: Eukaryota; Viridiplantae; Streptophyta; Magnoliopsida; Malvales; Malvaceae
Description: long non-coding RNA (GRAI_LNC001389)
Source: RNAcentral
UAAAAUUAUAAAAAUUUAAUUUAAUCCUUUAAAAAUAAUAAAAAUAUAACCCCUAAAAUAUUGUUCUAACUUCGCCCCUUAGCCAAAUGCCAUACCUUCACCUUUCGAAUUUCAAGACUAAGAAAUCAACACAUGUAGAAAGCAAGAGAAAGGAAGGAAAUUCAAGCCGAUGUGAAAAUUCGACUGAUCAAAGGUUGGACAGAGCAGCGGUGACUAAGUUUUUUAUGGGAGGAGAAGAGAGAAAGAGGAGAAGGAAAGAAG